GAUCAUGGCUCAGGACGAACGCUGGCGGCGUGCUUAACACAUGCAAGUCGAGCGGAAAGGCCACUUCGGUGGUACUCGAGCGGCGAACGGGUGAGUAACACGUGAGUAAUCUGCCCUUGGCUUUGGGAUAGCCACCGGAAACGGUGAUUAAUACCGGAUACGACAACUUCUCGCAUGGGAUGGUUGUGGAAAGUUUUUCGGCCAGGGAUGUGCUCGCGGCCUAUCAGCUUGAUGGUGAGGUAAUGGCUCACCAUGGCUUCGACGGGUAGCCGGCCUGAGAGGGUGACCGGCCACACUGGGACUGAGACACGGCCCAGACUCCUACGGGAGGCAGCAGUGGGGAAUAUUGGACAAUGGGCGGAAGCCUGAUCCAGCAACGCCGCGUGAGGGAUGACGGCCUUCGGGUUGUAAACCUCUUUCGCCUGUGACGAAGCGCAAGUGACGGUAACAGGUAAAGAAGCACCGGCCAACUACGUGCCAGCAGCCGCGGUAAUACGUAGGGUGCGAGCGUUGUCCGGAAUUAUUGGGCGUAAAGGGCUCGUAGGCGGUUUGUCGCGUCGGGAGUGAAAACCAGGUGCUUAACACCUGGCUUGCUUUCGAUACGGGCAGACUAGAGGUAUUCAGGGGAGAACGGAAUUCCUGGUGUAGCGGUGAAAUGCGCAGAUAUCANGAGGAACACCGGUGGCGAANGCGGUUCUCUGGGAAUGACCUGACGCUGANGAGCGAAAGUGUGGGGAGCG
This 740-nucleotide ribosomal RNA is filed under the name uncultured bacterium. RNAcentral's name for it is "bacterial SSU rRNA". It matches the Rfam family "Bacterial small subunit ribosomal RNA", at positions 15 to 770 of the family's 1533-position model. The record is from RNAcentral.